CGCUGGCGGCGUGCUUAACACAUGCAAGGUCGAACGGGGCAAAGUGAUAGCUUGCUAUUAUGGAGCCUAGUGGCAAACGGGUGAGUAACGCGUAGGCAACCUGCCCUUCAGAUGGGGACAACACCUCGAAAGGGGUGCUAAUACCGAAUGACGUUGCGCUGUCGCAUGACGGUGCAACCAAAGGCCGGGCAACCGGUCACUGAAGGAUGGGCCUGCGUCUGAUUAGCUAGUUGGUGGGGUAACGGCCCACCAAGGCGACGAUCAGUAGCCGGUCUGAGAGGAUGAACGGCCACAUUGGGACUGAGACACGGCCCAAACUCCUACGGGAGGCAGCAGUGGGGAAUCUUCCGCAAUGGGCGCAAGCCUGACGGAGCAACGCCGCGUGAGUGAAGAAGGUCUUCGGAUCGUAAAGCUCUGUUGAGAGGGACGAGAGACAUAAUCAGGAAAUGGGUUAUGGAGGACGGUACCUUUCGAGGAAGCCACGGCUAACUACGUG
This 496-nucleotide ribosomal RNA is filed under the name uncultured bacterium. Its description in RNAcentral is "bacterial SSU rRNA". It matches the Rfam family "Bacterial small subunit ribosomal RNA", at positions 34 to 507 of the family's 1533-position model. The record is from RNAcentral.